RNAcentral lists this non-coding RNA (45 nucleotides) under Schistosoma mattheei. Lineage: Eukaryota; Metazoa; Platyhelminthes; Trematoda; Strigeidida; Schistosomatidae. The record is from RNAcentral.
GUCCAGCUGAUGAGUCCCAAACAGGACGAACUGUGAGUCCCGGAU